AUGGCUCAGGACGACGGCGAGGUAGGCCACCCACGCCGCAGCCGACGCCUCAGGCCCCAUCCUUCUUUUGAUCCAGAGGACGACGGCAAGGUUGGCCGUCCAUGCCGCAACCGGCGCCUCAGGCCUCAUGCUUCUUUGGAUCCGGAGGACAACGGCAAGGUUGGCCGUCCAUGCCGCAACCGGCGCCUCAGGCCUCAGACUUCUUUGGAUCCGGAGGACGACGGCCCACGCCGCAACCGACGCCUCAGGCCUCAGGCUUCUUUGGAUCCGGAGGACGACAACGAGGUGGGCCGCCCACGCCUCAGAACUCUGGUUUCUUUGGAUCGAGAGGACGACGGCGAGGUGGGCCGCCAGCGCUGUAGCAGAUGCCUCGGGCCUCGGGCUUUUUCGGAUCCACGGCAGGAGCUCAAGCAGCUGCGGGAGGAGCUCAGUCAGGAGAAGCUCAAGUGCGCCAAGCUGCAGAAGCAGCUCAGGCAGAAGCAGCUCAAGUGCGCCCAGCUGCAGGAGGAGCUCAGUUAG
Molecule: ribosomal RNA, 519 nt
Filed under: Triticum aestivum (bread wheat)
Lineage: Eukaryota; Viridiplantae; Streptophyta; Magnoliopsida; Poales; Poaceae
Description: partial small subunit ribosomal RNA
Source: RNAcentral